GAUGAACGCUAGCGGGAGGCCUAACACAUGCAAGUCGAGGGGCAGCACGUCUUCGGAUGGUGGCGACCGGCGCACGGGUGCGUAACGCGUAUGUAACUUGCCCAUAACUGGAGAAUAGCCCAAAGAAAUUUGGAUUAAUCCUCCAUAGUAUUAUGAAACCGCAUGGUUUUAUAAUUAAAGCUCCGGCGGUUAUGGAUAGACAUGCGUCCCAUUAGCUAGUUGGUGAGGUAACGGCUCACCAAGGCUACGAUGGGUAGGGGUUCUGAGAGGAAGGUCCCCCACACUGGUACUGAGACACGGACCAGACUCCUACGGGAGGCAGCAGUGAGGAAUAUUGGUCAAUGGGCGAGAGCCUGAACCAGCCAAGUCGCGUGAAGGAAGAAGGUUCUAUGGAUUGUAAACUUCUUUUGCAGGGGAAUAAAGGACGGUACGUGUACUGUUUUGUAUGUACCUUGCGAAUAGGAUCGGCUAACUCCGUG
Molecule: ribosomal RNA, 479 nt
Filed under: uncultured bacterium
Lineage: Bacteria
Description: bacterial SSU rRNA
Rfam family: Bacterial small subunit ribosomal RNA
Source: RNAcentral